Molecule: ribosomal RNA, 407 nt
Filed under: uncultured bacterium
Lineage: Bacteria
Description: partial 16S ribosomal RNA
Rfam family: Bacterial small subunit ribosomal RNA
Source: RNAcentral
AUUGAACGCUGGCGGCAGGCCUAACACAUGCAAGUCGAGCGGAGCGGCGGACGGGGGAGUAAUGCCUAGGAAUCUGCCUGGUAGUGGGGGAUAACGUCCGGAAACGGGAGCUAAUACCGCAUACUAUGAGCUGCGACUAGGUCGGAUUAGCGAGUUGGUGGGGUAAAGGCCUACCAAGGCGACGAUCCGUAACUGGUCUGAGAGGAUGAUCCGUCAAAUUGGAAUUGAGACACGGUCCAGACGCCUACGGGAGGCAGCAGUGGGGAAUAUUGGACAAUGGGCGAAAGCCUGAUCCAGCCAUGCCGCGUGUGUGAAGAAGGUCUUCGGAUUUUAAAGCACUUUAAGUUGGGAGGCGUUACCAACAGAAUAAGCCCCGGCUAACUUCGUGCCAGCAGCCGCGGUAAUUC